CGGCCGCAAGGUUAAAACUCAAAUGAAUUGACGGGGGCCCGCACAAGCGGUGGAGCAUGUGGUUUAAUUCGAUGCAACGCGAAGAACCUUACCAAGUCUUGACAUCCUGCGAAUUUUCUAGAGAUAGAUUAGUGCCUUCGGGAGCGCGGUGACAGGUGCUGCAUGGCUGUCGUCAGCUCGUGUUGUGAAAUGUUGGGUUAAGUCCCGUAACGAGCGCAACCCUUGUCCUUAGUUGCUAGCAGGUUAAGCUGAGAACUCUAAGGAGACUGCCGGUGACAAACCGGAGGAAGGUGGGGACGACGUCAAGUCAUCAUGGCCCUUACGACUUGGGCUACACACGUGCUACAAUGGCCAGUACAAAGGGUUGCCAAGCCGCGAGGUGGAGCUAAUCUCAUAAAACUGGUCGUAGUCCGGAUUGGUGUCUGCAACUCGACUCCAUGAAGUCGGAAUCGCUAGUAAUCGUGAAUCAGAAUGUCACGGUGAAUACGUUCCCGGGCCUUGUACACACCGCCCGUCACACCAUGGGAGUGGGUUGCUCCAGAAGUGGCUAGUCCAACCUUCGGGGGGACGGUCACCACGGAGUGAUUCAUGACUGGGGUG
This 600-nucleotide ribosomal RNA is filed under the name uncultured bacterium. RNAcentral's name for it is "bacterial SSU rRNA". It matches the Rfam family "Bacterial small subunit ribosomal RNA", at positions 883 to 1482 of the family's 1533-position model. The record is from RNAcentral.